UUAUUAGCCAGGAGAUGUGUGCACACCGAUGUCUCUGUCUUCUUCCGUCGCCUCCAAUAUGUUUUUCUUUGUGUUUUUUUUUUUUUUGUCAAGACAACAAAAUGCUGCUCGGGACGGAAGGGGAAGAGGAGCGUGCUGGAGCGCGAAGGCUGAUGAGGCGCUUGACGAUGACACGAUGACAAGCGUGACGCGUCUGAUACAGGGAUUCUUUGUUUUGAAGUCAUCUUCGUGGGCAUCGCCGAUGACAGCAGCAUCUGUCGCCAUUUCCAGCGCGGCACCGCAAGCCGCAACACGCGACGCUAACGAGCCUGCCGUCGCACAAAGAAGCCGCUGAACUAUUGCACACCCAACAGCAGAACAAUUAAUUACAGCCAGUGUGGUAUGAUGUGUAAAUGGAAUACAUUUCUCAUCAAAUUAUCUUGGGAGAUAUCAAGCAAGUGAACUGCGGAGGGGAGCGCCAGGCACCAGUGGGCACGGAGAGAAAGUUGAUGCUUUGAAUAAUCGUAACGGCGUCGCCUGCGUCGAAGGGGAUUCUGUGUGUGGAGCGCGACGAGCAGGGCCCCUGGAAACUGCACGUCUUCAGACUAGAGAGGGUGAAUUCAUCACGUUAUUCUUGUUAAGGAUACGAUUGAAAGGGUUGGCCAUAGAGGAGCCUAGACGUGCAACACUGCUACUACUUUCACCUAAUACUGUCAAAAUGAAAGUGAAACCUGGAUGAGUGAUUAGUUAAAAACCUCCAAAUGGGCUCAUAAAGGAGUUCUGGGUCCAGGUUGUCAUUUUUCUUUCCUCUCACAUGCAGCCAAGCACAAAGACAAGCGUGUUUCCUCCUGCAGACAGGAGCCUGGAAGCCUGGUUUCCCACGGGGCCAAUGUGAGGGCCCGUUUUCACGCGAGUCGAUCCCCAGGGGAAACGAAAGCAGACCGACCCCACGGCAGCCUCUCUGGAGCUGUGGGCCAACAGACGAAGGCAGCUGAUUUACUUACAGGUCGACCUGCAUCACGAGGGCAAGCGCUUGUUUAUCUGGGUCUCACCGUGGUCCUGUACCAGCGUCACGGCGGGACAGCGUCUGAUGGGACGAACCGUGGAGUUCCUCCUCCUGCAAAAUGAGUCACUUUACUCUAUAUGUGCUUGUUAGCACAAAAGCAGUAAUAACUGAAGAUGUCAAUGCUGUUGUUUCUUUUCUCUGGUUUGGCAGAGAAUUGGGUCAUAUCAAAAUUGUGAUUCAUGUCACAAAGAGCUUGAUUCCAGCCGCUGUAAAGCUGAAAAAAACUGAAUGUUUUCCCAUUUUCAAACCGUCACCCACUUUGUUAUAAACGCUUUCAUUCACAACCAAA
This 1334-nucleotide long non-coding RNA is filed under the name Betta splendens (Siamese fighting fish). RNAcentral's name for it is "lncRNA (ENSBSLG00000004028.1)". The record is from RNAcentral. Lineage: Eukaryota; Metazoa; Chordata; Actinopteri; Anabantiformes; Osphronemidae.